AACGUAGGACACAAGCGUUAUCCGGAUUUACUGGGUUUAAAGGGUGCGUAGGUGGGCAGGUAAGUCAGUGGUGAAAUCUCCGGGCUUAACCCGGAAACUGCCAUUGAUACUAUCUGUCUUGAAUUUCCUGGAGGUAAGCGGAAUAUGUCAUGUAGCGGUGAAAUGCUUAGAUAUGACAUAGAACACCAAUUGCGAAGGCAGCUUACUACGGGAAUAUUGACACUGAGGCACGAAAGCGUGGGGAUCAAACAGG
RNAcentral lists this ribosomal RNA (253 nucleotides) under uncultured bacterium. RNAcentral describes it as "partial 16S ribosomal RNA". It matches the Rfam family "Bacterial small subunit ribosomal RNA", at positions 524 to 776 of the family's 1533-position model. The record is from RNAcentral.